UAUUUGCCCCGCGCGACCCAAAAGCUCUCGGCCCAGUCCAGCACACUCGUCCUCUUCCUCUGUCGCUCCGUCUACCGGCGAACUCGAGGCGAAAGUGGCGGCAAAAGGAGGCAGUCCCGGCGGCCAGAGAGGUGACUGCCGAUGGUCAUGGAGGCACGACGACGUAAACCCGGCAACCCUCCUCCUUUAUAUGGGUCGUGUGAUGAACUUUUCAGUGUAGAGAUACAUCAUGAUGGAGUUUUCUGUGGUGUUGGAAAGAAUCGGAUCUAUAUUGAUGACAAGGUGGACUGGUUUGAUUUCUGUGAGAGUGACACUCAUUGUUAUGGGUGCAAGAUUUUCUGCAGCAGCUAGGCUAUGAUGAAGCAGCAUAGAGCAAGUUGAGAGCUUAUUGGUGUGUGCCAGGGAAAACUGUAGCUGAUGGAUUAAGAAGUUUGAAAGGAGAUUCUGAUAUGGUAGACAUGAUAGCUGCUAGUACUGUGGAGAAGAACCUGGUUUUGUUCAUUGAUCAUGUCAAUUUCUUAGAGACCAAUAGGCAUGAUGAUGUACUGGUAGAUGGCAUGAGAGAUUUGACUGCUGUCAUUAUUAGUCCAGUAAAGAGGAGCAGAGACAAUUUAGAUGAUGAUGAUGAGGUCAGGGUUAUCAGUCCUGUUAAGAAAAGGAAGCAAAGAUAUGAAAGCAAAAGCAAUGAAGAUGAAGAGGAGGUUGAAGCAGGGGAAUAUGAUGACUAUGACAGCGAGCUGGAUUCAGACUUUGUGGAUAGUGACUAUGAAAUUGGCAAGGAUGAUGAUGAUUUGUAUGCAGAUAAUGUAGAUGAAGAAGUAGAGGAGUCAUACAAGGGAAAGCUGAAGGAGAAGGAUAAGGGGAAAGAGAAGGAGAAGGGUAAGGAAAGAGAUGUUGACAACUGUGUUAAAUCUGAGGAUGAUGAUUUGGAGUUACCUAGAAAAGAGAAUGGCAAGGAAAGAGCUGAUGCCAAGAAUCUUAAGUACAACUUCAGGACAUUCAGGGCAGAAACUGACAUGGAUGCUCCUCAGUUCAAGUUAGGCAUGAUUUUUUCAGAUGUGAAAGAGCUGAGAAAAGCACUUGCUGCCUACACUGUGAGAGAAAGAGUCAAGAUCUUGAAACUGAAGAAUGACAAGAAGAGGCUAGAAGCAAUGUGUGAAGAUGAUGAGUAUCCUUGGUACUUGAAGGCUUCUUUUGAUAACAUGACAUGAUGUUUCCUCAUCAAGAUCUAUGAUGGUGUCCACACUUGUACAAAAGGAUGGAACAACAAAGAAUUGACAGCACCUUUCCUUGCAAGGAAGUAUUUGGAUAGUAUAAGAGAUGAUGAGAAGAUGACAUUGAAGACAUUUGCAAGAAAAGUGACAAGGGAGUACAGCAUGUGCCCAAGUAGGAUAAAGCUGCAAAGGGCUAGAAGAAUUGCACUUGGCAUAAUAUAUGGUGAUGAACUAGCUCAGUACUUAAAGCUUUGGGACUACGCACAAGAAUUGAGGUUUACAAACCCUGGUAGCUGUUUAUUUCUUAGUGUAGAAGAGAUCACAACACCACCAAGUUUGGUCCCACUUCAGCACUUCAGCACACUAUAUUUCAAUUUAGAUGCUUGCAAGAGGGGCUUCUUGAGAGGAUGUAGGCCCUUAAUCUGUAUUGAUGGCUGCCAUUUGAAAACUAAAUUUGGAGGGAUAUUGUUUACUGCAGUUGGAAUUGAUCCCAACGACUGUAUAUUCCCCAUUGCAAUGGGUGUUGUGGAGGUUGAAGCAACUGCAUCUUGGAGAUGGUUCCUUGACACAUUGAAGAAUGAUUUGAAUAUUGUGACACUACUCCAUGGACUAUUAUGAGUGACAAGCAAAAGGGGUUGAUUAAUGCUGUCAAAGAGGUGUUUCCAGAUUCAGAACACAUAUUCUGUGUUCGACAUCUUUAUCAAAAUUUCCAACAGCUUCACAAGGGUGAGAAAUUAAAGAAAAAUCUAUGGGCAAUUGCAAGAUCCACCAACAUUCUAGCUUGGGAAAGGAACAUGCAUCAGCUAUAUCUAGAUAGCACAGAGGCUCAUGCUUGGGUUGAUGAGCUAGCCCCCAACACUUGGGUGAAAGCAUUUUUCUCUGAAUACCCAAAGUGUGACAUCCUUUUGAACAAUACAUCUGAAGUUUUCAAUAGCUAUAUCUUGGAAGCAAGAGAGAUGCCAAUUCUUAGCAUGUUGGAGAAAAUCAGAUCUCAGUUGAUGCAUAGGAUCCAAAGUAAGCAAUAAGAGGCUAUGAAUAAGUGGACAGGGCAUAUCUGUUCAAAGAUCAAGAAAAAAUUGGAAAAGAACUUUCAGUUUGCAAGUAAUUGCUUUGCCUUGGCAGCAGGAGAAGGGGUUUACCAAGUCACACACAGGGAAAACACUUACGUUGUUGAGCUGAAGUUUGAUAGAUGUGAUUGUAGAAGAUGGCAGUUGACUGGCAUCCCAUGUGGCCAUGCAAUUGCUUGUUUUAGGGAGGAGAGGAUCAAGCCAGAAGAUAAACUAGAGAAGAUAUACUCACUAGAGACUUACAUGAGAGCAUAUGGACAUAACAUCAAGCCUGUGAGGGAUCAGUCACAUUGGCAGAAGAUGAAUGGAGUGACAGUUGCUCCACCAUAUAAGAAGCAUGUUGGCAGGCCACGGAGGUGCAGGAGAAAGGAGCCAAAGGAAUUAGAGAAGAGAAAGCUCAGCAAGCAUGGUGUGGUAAUGCAUUGCAGCAUAUGCCACUCCAGUACCCAUAACAAAAAAGGUCACAAUAGAGCCAUGGGGUUGCCUGCAUCUGCACCUGAGGCAGAACCUGAACCUAACAUUGGUGAUGAUACAUAGUUUGAACACUUCGAAGAAUAUCAAGAGGGUAGAGUGGCUCCUGAAACAUGGCUGACUCCAUUGUCUACAAUUUAAAUCAGAGAAUCCCUGUUGUACAUGACAACAACCCUGGCCCACUGCCAGAAGAGAGCCAAUUUGUUGUUGAUCACAGGGAGAUGAUAGCACCUCCAAGAAUGACCACAUCAAUGACAAGAGGCAGAUCCAGAGGAAGAGGAAAGGGAAAGGGCAGGGGCAGGGCAACGGAAGCAAACAAUGCUGAAGAUCCACCAGCAUCAAGUGAUACAACAGAAGGUGCAAGGGGGAGAGGAAGAGGAAGAGGAAAGGGAAAGGGCAGGGGCAGGGGCAGGGGCAGGGAAGAAAACAAUGCUGAAGAUCCACCAGCAUCAAAUGAUACAACAGAAGGUGCAAGGGGGAGAGGAAGAGGAGCAGGAAAGGGAAGGGGAAGAUCAGCAGGAGUUCCCCCAACAUCAAGUGAUACAACAAAAGGUGCAAGGGGGAGAGGAAGAGGAGCAGGAAAGGGAAGGGGCAGAUCAGCAGGAAGAAGAUCAUUUGGCAGGCUGCACAAUUUGUUGUUUGGACCUGAUCAACCUGAACAAGCUGAUGUGAUCAACAACACUCAAGGAGCUCCUUUAGAAUGAGCAUGACCAUGCACUUCUCAUAUUUUGCUUUCAUAUGUUCACAUAUGCACUGGGUAUGGACCAUAUAUUUUGUGAUGUAAGCCCUUUAUGCAUUGUAAGCUCAUAUGGUUGGUACUGUCUAUUUUGGUACUAUUUUCUGUCAGUAUGAUCUAUUUAGAUUAUGAACAUGUUCUAUGUUGCUGUCAAUAUAAUCUGUGACUUUGUCA
This is a long non-coding RNA of Brachypodium distachyon (stiff brome), 3662 nucleotides long. RefSeq lists it as uncharacterized. Lineage: Eukaryota; Viridiplantae; Streptophyta; Magnoliopsida; Poales; Poaceae. The record is from RefSeq and is a predicted model, not a curated record. The transcript has 6 exons.